This 147-nucleotide unclassified non-coding RNA is filed under the name uncultured Teratosphaeriaceae. RNAcentral describes it as "sequence contains ITS2". Lineage: Eukaryota; Fungi; Ascomycota; Dothideomycetes; Mycosphaerellales; Teratosphaeriaceae. The record is from RNAcentral.
CACCACUCAAGCCUCGCUUGGUAUUGGAGGACGCGGUCCGCCGCGCCUCUCGAAUCGACCGGCUGAGUUCACCGUCUCUUAGCGUUGUGGAAAACUAUUCGCUUGUGAGAUCCGGUGACGCUCACGCCGUUAAACACCUUUCUCAGG